This 1632-nucleotide ribosomal RNA is filed under the name Octopoteuthis deletron. RNAcentral describes it as "bacterial LSU rRNA". It matches the Rfam family "Bacterial large subunit ribosomal RNA", at positions 1306 to 2917 of the family's 2925-position model. Lineage: Eukaryota; Metazoa; Mollusca; Cephalopoda; Oegopsida; Octopoteuthidae. The record is from RNAcentral.
GUAACGAUAAGGGGAGUGAAAAACCCCCCCGCCGAAAGACCAAGGUUUCCUGUCCCAUGUUAAUCAGGGCAGGGUAAGUCGGCCCCUAAGGCGAGGCGGAAACGCGUAGUCGAUGGGAAACAGAUUAAUAUUUCUGUACUUCUAUAUAUUGCGAAGGAGGGACGGAGUAGGCUAGGUGAGCACGGCGUUGGUAGUCCGUGUGAAAGUAUGUAGGCGGUUGUCUUAGGUAAAUCCGGGACUUCAUUAACGCUGAGAUACGAGACGAGACUCUACGGAGUUGAAGUCAUUGAUGCCAUGCUUCCAGGAAAAGCUUCUAAGCUUCAGAUAUAUAGGAACCGUACCCCAAACCGACACAGGUGGUUAGGUAGAGAAUACUAAGGCGCUUGAGAGAACUCGGGUGAAGGAACUAGGCAAAAUGGUACCGUAACUUCGGGAGAAGGUACGCUCUCUAAUGUGAAUGACUUGCUCAGUAAGCAUCGGAGAGUCGAAGUAACCAGGUGGCUGGAACUGUUUAUUAAAAACACAGCACUGUGCAAAAUCGAAAGAUGACGUAUACGGUGUGACGCCUGCCCGGUGCCGGAAGGUUAAUUGAUUGGGUUAGACUUAGGUCGAAGCUCAUGAUCGAAGCCCCGGUAAACGGCGGCCGUAACUAUAACGGUCCUAAGGUAGCGAAAUUCCUUGUCGGGUAAGUUCCGACCUGCACGAAUGGUGUAACCAUGGCCACGCUGUCUCCACCCGAGACUCAGUGAAAUUGAAAUCGCAGUGAAGAUGCUGUGUACCCGCGGCUAGACGGAAAGACCCCGUGAACCUUUACUAUAGCUUGGCACUGAACAUUGAACCUACAUGUGUAGGAUAGGUGGGAGGCUUUGAAACCGCGUCGCUAGAUGCGGUGGAGCCAACCUUGAAAUACCACCCUUGUAUGCGUGAUGUUCUAACCUAGGGCCCUUAUCGGGCUUGGGGACACUGUCUGGUGGGUAGUUUGACUGGGGCGGUCUCCUCCCAAAGAGUAACGGAGGAGCACGAAGGUUGGCUAAGUACGGUCGGACAUCGUACGGUUAGUGCAAUGGCAUAAGCCAGCUUAACUGCGAGACAGACACGUCGAGCAGGUACGAAAGUAGGUCAUAGUGAUCCGGUGGUUCUGUAUGGAAGGGCCAUCGCUCAACGGAUAAAAGGUACUCCGGGGAUAACAGGCUGAUACCGCCCAAGAGUUCAUAUCGACGGCGGUGUUUGGCACCUCGAUGUCGGCUCAUCACAUCCUGGGGCUGAAGUCGGUCCCAAGGGUAUGGCUGUUCGCCAUUUAAAGUGGUACGCGAGCUGGGUUUAGAACGUCGUGAGACAGUUCGGUCCCUAUCUGCCGUGGGCGUUUGAGAAUUGAGAGGAGCUGCUCCUAGUACGAGAGGACCGGAGUGGACGAACCGCUGGUGUUCGGGUUGUUAUGCCAAUAGCAUUGCCCGGUAGCUACGUUCGGAACUGAUAACCGCUGAAAGCAUCUAAGCGGGAAGCAGGCUUUGAGAUGAGUUCUCACUGGAGCUUUAAGCUCCCUAAAGGGUCGUUGGAGACUACAACGUUGAUAGGCAAGGUGUGUAAGUGCUGUGAGGCAUUGAGCUAACUUGUACUAAUUACCCGUGAGGC